RNAcentral lists this long non-coding RNA (770 nucleotides) under Homo sapiens (human). Its description in RNAcentral is "non-protein coding lnc-APBB1IP-1:5". Lineage: Eukaryota; Metazoa; Chordata; Mammalia; Primates; Hominidae. The record is from RNAcentral.
AAACAGGCAGUUUGUGAAUAUUAAACAGAACAGUGGUGCUGAGCAUGGCUAAAGCAUCUCUGCAUUCACAGGGAGAGGAGCGGAAGACCUUCUGGUGUGGGCUGGGCAGCAAUUCACUUGAAGGAGAAACAGCCCGGGUGUGGAGAGGCGGCUGUCCUUGGAGGGAUCCUUUCUAAGGAGCCGAGAAAUCAACGUAGAGCUUCCUCUAUCUGAUUCUCUAACAACUGCAGACCUUCCAUGAGUCAAGCUUUGUGUCAAAAGGACAAAUUAAAAGGACCUAUAAAAGGCAUCACCAAGCCCAGUGGACAGAUGCCCCAGGCUGCACAUUCUGUCAGUGCUGUUCUGGAAAAGGCCCAAACACAUGCUGAAACAUGGAAGUAUAAGAAGCCAGCCCUCGGGAACCACCAGGAGCCAGGAGCACCCCGGCCCCGCAGGGCCCCAAGUUCAGCCUGCCCCAACCCCUCUGGUGCAGAGUUCCUGGGACACCAUCUGCAGCCCCGCCACGCCCCUCAAAGUCAAGGGCACAGGCGGCUGGGGCUUCCCCGCCCGCCCGACGACUUCCUGCUGCCCCAGCAGCCGCCACAGUCACCACCACGGCCCCUGGACGACCCAGAGCUCCUGCUGCCGCCCCCUGACUUCAUGGAGGCGCCCCAGGACUUCGUGCCCCCUCCCCCUGCUGUCGCCAAGAGGCCUCCUAUGCCCCACCCCCACAAGAGGCACGAAGCAUCAAUGUUCAGAUGCCGCAAAUGAAUAAAAUAAAUGAAUAAAAG